This is a non-coding RNA of Myodes glareolus (Bank vole), 1938 nucleotides long. NCBI's taxonomy places the organism in Eukaryota, Metazoa, Chordata, Mammalia, Rodentia, Cricetidae. The record is from RefSeq and is a predicted model, not a curated record.
CGUCCGUUGGUCGUGCCUGAUGCUGGGCAGACCAGCCUGGGUGGGCCUCUUGAGUGUGCCAGUCUGGUCUAAUGAGAUAAGAUUGGGGCACAUGAGUGCAGCGACUGGGGGUUAUAACUGGCGUAGCAAACCCUGGCUCCCACACUCAGAACGUGGCUGCCACGUGCGUUUUCCUGGAGGGCUGCAGACGGACAUCUAUUCACCUCAGAAAAUGCACUGACAGAAAAUCAAAGAAAUGGUCCAGUUAAGUCCAGCCUUGUGAACCAACGAACAAGCCUCAUAAGCUUCCCCACUCCCUCCAGGAUGUCACUGUCAGCCUCGGUAAGGCACAGUCCUUGAGACUCUACAGGCUUGCUAUCUGCCUGGCCAGGUGCUGCCUGUGUUGGGAGAGAAAGAUCGAACCUGGUCCCGACUCACAGGAGUCAGACGAGAGGAGGAAGCCUUUGCAUCUGCUGAACCGUGCUCCCCAGUGACUGCAUUUUGCCUCUCUAGGGUGAAUGCAGCUUCAAGGGCCUGUCUUUGUGGGUGUGCCCCUCCUGGGACCCAUCCUGAUUUGCAUGUUCACUCCUAAUGAGCCGUCCGGUUGGUGUGAGGAUGACAGGAAGCUGUCGUGGUGUCCACCCCACAAGGUCAUAUUACCUGUGUGGGCAACCAUCUACUCUGUCAUGGGCUAUGCCUCCUACCUUGUGUGGAAGGACCUGGGAGGGGGCUUCCGGUGGCCCCUAGCACUGCCCCUUGGCCUCUACACUUUCCAACUCACCCUCAGCUGGACCUUCUUGAUGCUCUUCUUGACAGCCAGCAACCCUGGGCUGGCCCUCCUGGACCUGCUGCUGCUCUAUGGGCUGGUGGCAAGCAUGGUGCUCAUCUGGCAGCCGAUCAACAAGCUGGCCGCUCUGCUCCUACUGCCCUACCUGGCCUGGCUCACUGUGACUACUGCCAUCACCUACCGCCUGUGGAGGGACAGCCUAUGUCCAGCGUACCAGCCUUAGCCAUCAAGACGAGCAGCUGAGGCUCCAGGGAACAGGAGAGCGGGGAGGUGGGAAGGUAGAUCACACUGUCUUGGUCCUCGAUGAGUCAGAAAUCAGAUGGAGUUCAACCUCACCCAUGGAUUAAUCUGUGGACUACAGGAGUGGGGACAACUAGUCAGAAGGAGUUGGUCACUGCGAGCUCCCGCCCCUCGCUGUCUCCCUCCCCGCCCCUGCACGAGGCGAGCAGCCUUCACCACCACACACUGCUGCCACGAUGUUCAGCUUCACCAUGGGCCCGUGGUAACGGAGCCGGCCAGCCACACGCCGAAGCCUCCAAAGCAGAGAGCCAAAAGCGGCCUGCUCCCCUUUGAAGUUGACUUCACAGGUGUUUCCUCGGGUGAUGGAAGCUAAUUAAUACUCGGAAUCCAGCUCGAUCGUUCAUUAACUUGGCCAGCAUGACUUCACAGCAGCCGGCCUUCACACUCUCAUCUGUAAAACUGGGAUCUCGCGGCUUAGAGGAGAAGAGCGAAUGGAACUAUGGGGGAAAGAGAGUGAGGCGCAGGGAGAGGAUUCAAUCGAUGCCAGUCUCUCUAGCACAGAACUCAGGAAGCACCAUUUAAUAAGCAGCCAGAGUUUAGCUACUGUGCCAGGUUGCUCAGAGGCCCCCGCUGGACUUCCCAAACCUCCUAACAGCCAGGAGUCACCUCCUCAAGAGUCGCCUCCUCAGACUGGGGAGCCAGCCUGACUGUCAGGACCAAAAUGGCUGGCUUUGGAUGGUCUACAUUUGUGUGGGUUUGUCUGUAUGCCAGGAGAGCUAUUAAAACCAGGACUGGGGCUAGCUCAGUAGUGAGGACCUGCCUAGCAUGAAGCCAGGAAAAUCCCACCCAAGGCACUGAAAAUCAAACAACUUUGUUUUGCUUGUUGCUUUAUUAUACAUGUAACUUAUUAAAGAGCUAUUGAUUUGAAUGUA